Antechinus flavipes (yellow-footed antechinus) is the source of this 977-nucleotide long non-coding RNA. RefSeq lists it as uncharacterized. The record is from RefSeq and is a predicted model, not a curated record. The transcript has 3 exons. Lineage: Eukaryota; Metazoa; Chordata; Mammalia; Dasyuromorphia; Dasyuridae.
GCAGGUGAUUAUAAGGUUAAGAAGAUCACAGGAUACCUUUGUAUAACUGCUGACUCCGUUGUCCUUGUUCUAGGGCAAGUUCCAGCUUCUCUGGGUUAAGAACUUCUUCAAGAACCAAGGAGAAACAACAUCCCGGCAUCUCCUGAUUUACAUCUUGCCACUUGACCCAUAUGGCUCUGGGAGAGAAAGUGAGGUGGGACUUUGCAUGGUCUGCCUCACUCAAAUCCAAUUCACUUGCAAGUCAUGUCACCUUCCUUGAAUAGCAAGUUCCAAGAAUUAUGGAUUCCCUGAACCGUGUUGGCUCUGCCACUAGGAGGAUCAUCUAGGAUUCAUCACUAUGGCUGGCAUUGUCAAACUGACAUCCUAGAAAUGUUGAUGUUCCCAUUCCUGGAUGGGUUCUUGGGCUUGUUCUAUGGGCCUUAGGAAAGCCCAGAUAGUUACAUGGAGAGAACCCAAGCUACACAAAGAUCUGGAACAACACAGAAGAUCACAUGCAUUUAAGGGACCCAGAAAGAGAAAGAGAGUUGGAAAAUGGUGAGAGCUAACUAAAGACAAGGCAUUUGGAACCUUUAUGAAAGAGAAAAUAAAGGGACUUAAGUAAGACAUGUUUUCUUCUCCGAGCCAAAAAAAAAAAAAAAUCAAUUCCUAAUUCUUUUUGAUUAUUCUCAUAUGGCAUGGCCUUCAGGACCCUCUGGUUAGCCUUCUCUGGGCCAGCUCCAGGUUUUCAGCAUCCUUUGAAAAUAUGGUCCUUGGAACUGAAUGUGGUCCCCCAGAUGUAGUUUUGUACCCACUACAGAAAGUUAAAGAGUCAUAGGAGGUACCCAGAAAAGGAGGGUAGCACUAUUCUAGGAAAUUUUUUUUCCUCCUGUACUUUUAACCAGUGGAAUUAAGAAAAUGACACAUGUGAACUCUGAGCUGGAUCUUGUUGUUUUCAAGAUAUGAUGUUUACUUAAGGUUUGAAUUUCACAUAAACCGAU